GCAGACAGCAGUGAGGUUGGGAUCUGAGAACCUGAGUUCCAGUCCUGCCUCUGCUAUCCAUAAAUUGCCUGACAUGGAGCAAACAACUAAACUUUCCAUGUAAAAGAGAGUUCCUCCACCUGCCUCACAGGGCUGGGAGAGUUAGGUGAGUAAUGUUCUUAAAAUUACAUGUUAAACUAUGUGCUGGGUAUAAACAAAGGAUUAUUUUCUUUAUCCUGGGUCCCAAUAGCCCAACCUCCUGCUAUUAAACUUCUCCCUAAGCAUCUAUUGGAUUGAAGAUCCUCUUAGCUGGCCUUAGCCACCUCCAGACUGCAGCUUCCUCAGUUUUAUUCUGGAUUAUUUGCAAAGCAAAUUGUGGGUCUAAGAGGCACAGUCACACCCCAGGCACAUGGUUUCUGCAAACAGUGACCACAGCUGCACACCACAGGGAAGUCUUUGCUCUUGUACACAAUGAUAAUGAUCCCUGUCAAUAAAACCCAUAAUUUACACAAAGAACAGAUUAUAUAGUGCUUGCCUUUGUGUAUUGCUUUCUAUUUUUCAAAGUAUUUUCACAUAUCCAUUUCUUUUGUGAUAAAUGCAGAAAUUGGCAUUUUUUACAGAGUCACACCCACCUAAAAGUAGGCAUUUCUAAACUCAGGUUUAAACAAGAUUCAAAGACAUUGAACCAUUAUAGAAAUUACCUUUGAAAUAAGCUAGAGAAACCAGUAAAUCCUGUGAACAAACUCAGCUGCUUUCCUAAGUUUUCAGACCAAUAAUUUUCAAUGUCUUCAUGUCUCAUUGGUAAUUCCAUAAAAGGUUUAUUUUGCUAAUUCAAGGCAGGUGACCUUUUUUUUAGGUUUUUUUUUUAAUUAUAAAAGGAGUAUAUUAAAAAGUAAUACAUGCCCACAUAAUCACAAAUAUUGCCAUCACUGAGAGUUAUUAUUGUUCAGCUUUUGGUAGAAUUCUUCCUAGUCCUCCUUAUGUGCAUUUGUAAUAUAUUUUAUUGAGAUGACACUUUAAUUUUGAGUAUCAAUAUUUUAUUUAUAAGCAUUUUCAAUGUUAUUUAAAAUAAAAUUUCACAAACUUCAUCUUCUUUCUUUCUUUUCUUUAUUUCUACACCCCACCUCCCCGGCCCUCAGCAGGGAUUAAACCCAGGGACAUUCUACCACUGAGCUACAUCCCAGUCCUUUUUAUUUUUUGAGACAGAGGCUCAUCAAGUUGUCCAGGCUGGCCUUGAGCUUGUGAUGAUCCUCCUGCCUCACACUCCAAAGUGAGUAGGAUUAUAAAUAUGUACCCUCAUGCCUGGCACACACUUCAUUUUUAGUAAGCUAGAAGUAAUUUGACAUUUGAAUUAUUAUAGUUUACCUUUCAAAGAAAGGAGAGCACGUUUCCACAUUUGUUCACAGAUCAUACAAAUGAAACCUUUUUAAAAAAUAUUUUAUUUUUUAGUUGUAGUUGGACACAAUACCUUUAUUUUAUUUUUAUGUGGUACUGAGGAUCGAACGCAGGGCCUCGCACGUGCUAGGCAAGCGCUCACCACUGAGCCACAACCCCAGCCCAUGAAACCUUCUUUUUUGGUAACUUUAAUCUGAAAAAUAUUCAGCACCUAAUGUUAGCACUCAGUUUUAGUAUUGAGAAUGAGAAUCAUAAUUUCUAUAGAAACCCAAGCUCCUAUUUAAGUAUCUAGUUUUUUCUUUAUAUAGGCUAAAAUUCCUUUUCUCCCAAGCAGAGAAAAUUCCCAUGUGCUAGGUAAUACAACAGAGCUUCCUGGCAGAGGUCUGAGAAGGAUUUUAUAUAAUAUUAGAGCAAGACAACGGACAGUGAGCACUUGCUAGCUAAGAUGUUGUUGCCACCUUCCUUCUUUUAUGUGUUAUAAGUCCGUUGUUUGAUUAUGCAGUAUCAUCUGUGACUUUACUGGUUUGCAUUUUAUGUUUUCUUUUAUUUGGACUAUAAGGGCCAUGCUCACUCAAUCUGCUGAUGUUUACUCCUCUUCUAUUGGGGUCAUGGCCAAUAUAACAGUACACUCAUAAAUUCUCAAGAGAGAAAAACAUUGUUUUCAAAGAAACAAUUAGAAGAUAAAAAGCUCCCUCUUUUCAAACAAUAUACUAAUUUAUCAAGAAAAAAAUUUAAAAGUCAAUGGAAAUAUAGGAGAUUAAAAUAAUUUAAGUAAAGUGGCUGGAUAUAAGAUCAAUAUACAAUAUACAAAAAACUUUUUUAUAAGCAAUAAACAUCAAUUAGAAAUAAAAUGGAAAAAGAGGUCCAUUUACAAUAUAUUUUUUAAUAUUUAUUUUUUAGUUGUACAAAAUACCUUUAUUUUAUUUAUUUUUAUGUGGUGCAGAGGAUCGAACCCAGGGCCUUGCACAUGCUAGGUGAGCGCUCUACUGCUGAGCCACAACCCCAGCCUACAAUAUAUAUUUUUUUAAUUAUAAAAUGCCUAGUUUUAGACUGAACAAAACUAUUCAAUAUCUAUAAGAAGCUACAAAACUUUACUAAAAUGCAUAAAAGCCUAAGUCAAAUGGAGAAUGUGGCCCUGCAGGGAAGAGUCAAUAUUGUAAACAUGUUGAUUUCCUCCAAAUCAAUCUAUCAAAUCAAUGCAAUCUCAAUUAAAAAAAAAUCAACAUGUUUUUAAUGGACUCAAUAAGCACUUUCAAAGGCUUACGUAAAUUAGAGAAAAUGUGCAAGAAUGGUCAAGAAUAUUUGAAUACAGAACACUGGGGGAUUUACUCUAUAUCAAAAUAUCUAAUAACUUAUUAUAAUAGUGUAAAAGAAACAAAUAGAUCAAUGAACCCAGAGUCCUGAGCCAGACAUACUAAAUUUAUCCAUAGCAAGACCCCAUGUGAGAAAAGGAAGGGCUGCCUAAGAAAAACCACAGAAACCAUUAUUCUUUCAUCAAGAAAAAAGUAAAAUUAGAAGUUGAAUAGUGUCUCCUUACAAUUCAUCUCCACCCAGAACUUCAGAAUGUGAAUUUUUUAGUAAUUAAGGGAAGAAUUGAUAUGAGACCAUAUUGGAUUAGGGUGGCACCUAAAUUCAUGGAGAGUGUCCUAUAAGGAGACAGAAAAAGACAUACAAAGACACAGAGAUGGUGGCAAUGUGACGAUAGAGUAAGAGAUUGUAAUGGUAAGUCUGUAAACCAAAUGAUGCCAAGGAUUGCUGCCAGCCACUAGACACUGAGAGAGAGGCAUAAGAAGGUUUUACUAGAAACUAACCCUCCAACAUGUUGAGUUCAGAAUUCUGACCUCCAGACUGUGAGAAAAUUCCACAAGCUACCCAACCUGUAAUAAUUUGUUAUGGCAGCCUUAAGAAACUAAUACAAUGCUUUAUCACAUUUCAAAUAUAAAAUAAGUUCCAAAUUAUCAAAGGUUAAAUACUGUAAAUGUAUUUGAAGACAACCUUGAAAAAUGUUUUUAUAAUUCAUAGGCUAGAUAACUUCCCAAACAAGGAAUCAAUCCCAGAUGUCUUUUAAAAUUUAUAUACAUUAAAAAUAAAAUUUAAAAUAUGUGGAAGAAAAAUAAAAUUAAAAAGCCAAAAUGUAUAUCAAAAGGCACUAUUAGGUUAAAAGACAAGUAAGUAACUGAAGAAAAUAUUUGCAGUAUGUAGCACAUUAAGGGUUAAUAUCUAUACUAGUCAGAGAUUAUACAAAUUAUUAAUGAACACAAAUGACUCAGAAAAAUUAUUCAAAUUAUAAAAAGUGGAAACACUGAAGAAAUACAAAAAGGCCAAUAAAAGCUUUAUAAUAGGAGCUGGGGUUGUGGCUCAGUGGUAGAGCGCUCAUCUAGCAUGCAUGAGGCACUGGGUUUAACCCUCAGCACCACAUAAAAAUAAAAUAAAGAUAUUGUAUCCACCUCUAACUAAAAAAUCAAUAUUAAAAAACUUUAUAGGGGCUGGGGAUGUGGCUCAAGCGGUAGCGCGCUCGCCUGGCAUGCGUGCGGCCCGGGUUCGAUCCUCAGCACCACAUACAAACAAAGAUGUUGUGUCCGCCAAAUACUAAAAAAUAAAUAUUAAAAAAUUCUCUCUCUCUCUACCUCUAUCUCUCUCACUCUCUCUUUAAAAAAAAAAAAACAAAAAAAAACAAAAAAACUUUAUAAUAUACAAAUAACUGAUAAUAUCCAGUUUACCUAAGGAAAGAAAGAUAUACACAUUUUUUUACAGUGCUAGUAGAAGAUAAAUAUGUGUUUAAAGAAUAUUAUAUUAUUAUAACUCUAACCUAGAGCUGAAAAAAGAACAUAGUAUUGUUUGUAAUAGAAAAAAAUCAGAAACAGCCUAAAUACCUAGCAAUAAAGUAAUUAAAUAUGUUGCAGCAUGUUCAAAGGAUAAUUAGGGCUUAGGAUGUAGCUCAGUGGUAGAGCACCUGCCUAGCAUACAUAAGGCCCUGAGUUCAAUCCCCAGCACCACACACAAAAAAAUAAAAAUAAAAACUAGACCAAGAUACAAAGAAGAAUCUCCAGGAUAUAUUAAGGGAAAAGAACAAAUCACUAAAUAAUAAGUACAGUUUAAUAUAAUUUAUUUAUCAACGAUAUAUAUCUAGAUUUCAAACUACAUACAUAAACUAUAUAAUUGAUUUACAAAUAUUCAUAUACACAAAUUUCAAACUAUAAAUAUGAUUGGUACAUAUACUGUUAUCUAAUCAUGCAAAGAAAGAGUUAGUGGGGAAAAUACAAAACUGCCAAGCUGCUGUGAAGAAAGGCAGUGUGUAUGUGUGAUUGGUUUUGAGUGUGUAUUUGGGGUAGGAGAAUAAAGAAUGACUUUCGUGUUUUCCUCCACAUACUUCCAGGUUGUGUGAGCUUUUCAAAUAAAAAUGAUGUAUUAUAAGUAGAAAGAAAAAAAAAACAUAACAAGCACAUAGAAAGUAAUGACACUAAUUGUUAAGUGUGUGGACCAUUGUUCAGUACUAUAUGCAUGUGGAUAUUUUGAAGGUUUUUUUUUUUUUUUUUUUGGUACUGGGAAUUGAAUCCUGGGCUUUGUGUAUGCUAGGCAAGUGCUCAACCACUGAACUGCAUUAGAAAUUUGAUAAUGAAGCAAGAACAGUCUUGAAAAAUACAUGAAAGGUAAAUUUUAUUUUUAUUUUUAUUUUUUUAAAAUAUUUAUUUAUUUUUUUAGUUUUCGGCAGACACAACAUCUUUGUUUGUAUGUGGUGCUGAGGAUCGAACCCGGGCCGCACACAUGCCAGGCGAGCGUGCUACCGCUUGAGCCACAUCCCCAGCCCAAAAGGUAAAUUUUAAAAACACAACAUGCACAUAACAUUCUUUUGGUGUCAUCAUUUUUUAAAGUGUCAAGGCAUCACAUGAGUCCUUGGGAAGUAAUGCCUUUGAUUUUUCAAGGUGAUACUGUAAUAGGAUCUAACUCUGGGACGUUAAGAGUUGUAAGAACAGAGGCUGGGGUUGUGGCUCAGUGGUAGCGUGCUUGCCUAGCAUGUGUGACACACUGGGUUCGAUUCUCAGCACCACAUACAAAUAAAUAAAAUAAAGAUCCAUCAACAACUAAAAAAUAUUUUUUAAAAAGAGUUGUAAGAACAAAAGAAGACACUGGAACACAAGAGACAUUAAUGUCAGUCUCCUCACUCUACUGGCCUGCCGAUGGUGAAGACUAAGGAAAAACAUAUGGAAACAUUUAGCCAUGCACAAAGUACUAUGCAAAUCCACUGUGUUUUAUUAGCUCCUAAAAGCAUUCACUAUCAUGUACUGCGUGGAUUACUGUGUUUGUCCACUAAAUGCUAAAUUCUAAAGAUAACACAUAGAUAGGGCACAGGGGACGGAGGGGAAAGGAGGGAGGAUAGGGGUAGGAAAGAUGGUAGAAUGAGAUGGACAUCAUUACCCUAAGUACAUGUAUGAAGAACCAAAUGGUGUGACUCUACUUUGUGUACAACCAGAGACAUGAAAAAUUGUGCUGUAUAUGUGUAAUAUGAAUUGAAAUGCAUUCUGCUGUAAUAUAUGAUAAAUUAGAAUAAAUAAAUAAAUUUUAAAAAUAUGCUUAGGUAAGACCAAUGAGGGCAAAAAAAGAGAGAAACCAAGAAUAAGCAGAGUAAAGAUUUUCAUAGGGGGCUGGGGCCCGGGCUCAGCGGUAGCACACUUGCCUGGCACAUGUGAGGCACUGGAUUCGAUUCUCCGCACCACAUAUAAAUAAAUAAAGGUCUAUCAACAACUAAAAAUAUAUUUUUUUUAAAAAAAGAUUUUUCACAGGCAGUUUAAAAUAUGUAACUGACCCUAAGGAGGAAAGUCCAAAUUUGGGGAUAUUAUAGAUUUGGAAACGAAUGAUGGUUGUGAGAGUGGUUUCUUAAUGAGUUUCAUUAGGGGAUGAAUUGGAGUGGAGGAAGCUCAGAAUCUAAAACAAUAAUAUAUUUUAAAAAUAAUUUUUAACUGAUUUUCGGAGGCAGAUCUAAAAAAGUUAGGUAAGCAAAAUACUCUUGGCUAGAAAGUUAUUACGUAUUAGUGAGAUAAAGAUCAUUCUUAUCAGAAUACUGUGUGAGAAGGGUUGUUCACAAGAUUUUUAUGUUUAGCAGAAGGCAUGGGUUAAAAAAAAGUUCAGAAAGAUUCAAUAAAAUAAUCCCCUCCAUGAAAAGUAUAUGCAAAGUGUUAUUCAAAUGUGUGUGUGUGUGUGUGUGUGUGUUUGGUACUGGGGAUGAACACAGGGGCACUUUACCACUG
Molecule: long non-coding RNA, 6620 nt
Filed under: Marmota monax (woodchuck)
Lineage: Eukaryota; Metazoa; Chordata; Mammalia; Rodentia; Sciuridae
Rfam family: tRNA (bases 4307-4367)
Source: RNAcentral